This 426-nucleotide ribosomal RNA is filed under the name uncultured bacterium. Its description in RNAcentral is "bacterial SSU rRNA". It matches the Rfam family "Bacterial small subunit ribosomal RNA", at positions 354 to 796 of the family's 1533-position model. The record is from RNAcentral.
GUGAGGAAUUUUCCGCAAUGGGCGAAAGCCUGACGGAGCAAUGCCGCGUGAAGGAUGAAGGCCUAUGGGUUGUAAACUUCUUUUCUCAGAAAAGAAUUAUGACGGUAUCUGAGGAAUAAGCAUCGGCUAACUCUGUGCCAGCAGCCGCGGUAAGACAGAGGAUGCAAGCGUUAUCCGGAAUGAUUGGGCGUAAAGCGUCUGUAGGUUGUUUAAAAAGUAUUCUGUCAAAGAUUAGGGCUUAACCCUAGAUAGGCAGAAUAAACUUUUAAGCUAGAGUUUAGUAGAGGCAGAGGGAAUUCCCGGUGGAGCGGUGAAAUGCGUAGAUAUCGGGAGGAACACCAAAGGCGAAGGCACUCUGCUGGGCCAAUACUAACACUGAGAGACGAAAGCGAGGGGAGCAAAUGGGAUUAGAUACCCGGGUAGUCC